UAGUUAUAUUCUUUAAACCUAAAGAAUUUGGCGGUGUUUUAGUCUAUUCAGAGGAAUUUGCCCCUUAAUCGAUAAUCCUCGUUAUAUUUUACUUAAUUUUGUUUUCAGUAUGUAUAUCGCUGUUAUAAGUUUAUUUUUUUAGAAUAAGAAUUUACUUUAUUUAUUAUUUUAAUUUAUUUCAAGUCAAGGUGCAGCUUAUAAUUAAGUGUGAGGUGAAUUACAAUAUUAUUUGAAUAUAUGGAUUUAAUUUUAAAAAUUUAAUGAAGGUGGAUUUGAUAGUAAUUUUAUUUAUUAUAUUAUUUUGAUUUUAGCUCUAAAAUAAGUACACAUCGCCCGGUCGCUCUA
This 345-nucleotide ribosomal RNA is filed under the name Necroscia randolfae. RNAcentral's name for it is "partial small subunit ribosomal RNA". Lineage: Eukaryota; Metazoa; Arthropoda; Insecta; Phasmatodea; Lonchodidae. The record is from RNAcentral.